RNAcentral lists this unclassified non-coding RNA (352 nucleotides) under uncultured fungus. RNAcentral describes it as "sequence contains ITS1". The stretch from base 1 to 105 matches the Rfam family "5.8S ribosomal RNA", at positions 50 to 154 of the family's 154-position model. The record is from RNAcentral. Lineage: Eukaryota; Fungi.
GAAGUGCGAUAAGCAAUGCGAAUUGCAGAAUUCCGCGAAUCAUCAGAUCUUUGAACGCAAAUGGCGCCGGAGGGAUCUCCUUUCGGCAUGUCUGUUUCAGUGUCUGAGAGGUUUCACAUAAAUCUUAAUGUGAUUGACGAAGGUGAGUGUUUUAAUACAUCCUCCCGAGUCUCUCAUGAAAGAUGCGCAAGUGGAUCUUUCGGUCCAAUGAAGUGGUCACAUCACUCGCAUGUGAUUUCAUUGGAGUAAUAACCAAACCGAAUUAUCCGAUUACUUGUGGUUUUCUUCUGAAAUAAAAAACAAACUUCCAUACCCUGCAUCUGAGACAGGCAAGAUCACCCGCUGAACUUAA